RNAcentral lists this ribosomal RNA (429 nucleotides) under Actinomycetes bacterium. Its description in RNAcentral is "Actinobacteria bacterium partial 16S ribosomal RNA". It matches the Rfam family "Bacterial small subunit ribosomal RNA", at positions 355 to 776 of the family's 1533-position model. Lineage: Bacteria; Bacillati; Actinomycetota; Actinomycetes. The record is from RNAcentral.
UAGGGAAUCUUCCGCAAUGGGCGAAAGCCUGACGGAGCAACGCCGCGUGAGUGAUGAAGGUCUUCGGAUCGUAAAACUUUGUUAUUAGGGAAGAACAAAUGUGCAAGUAACUAUGCACGUCUUGACGGUACCUAAUCAGAAAGCCACGGCUAACUACGUGCCAGCAGCCGCGGUAAUACGUAGGUGGCAAGCGUUAUCCGGAAUUAUUGGGCGUAAAGCGCGCGUAGGCGGUUUUUUAAGUCUGAUGUGAAAGCCCACGGCUCAACCGUGGAGGGUCAUUGGGAACUGGAAGACUUGAGUGCGGAAGAGGAAGGUGGAAUUCCAUGGGUAGCGGUGAAAUGCGCAGAAGUAUGGAGGAACACCAGUGGCGAAGGGGACUUUCUGGUGUGUAACUGACGCUGGUGUGGGAAAGCGGGGGGGUCAAACAGG